This 305-nucleotide ribosomal RNA is filed under the name uncultured bacterium. RNAcentral's name for it is "bacterial SSU rRNA". It matches the Rfam family "Bacterial small subunit ribosomal RNA", at positions 337 to 640 of the family's 1533-position model. The record is from RNAcentral.
CCCUACGGGGCGCAGCAGUGAGGAAUAUUGGUCAAUGGUCGGGAGACUGAACCAGCCAAGCCGCGUGAGGGAGGAAGGUACAGAGUAUCGUAAACCUCUUUUGUCAGGGAACAAAGGCGGGGACGUGUCCCCGGAUGAGUGUACCUGAAGAAAAAGCAUCGGCUAACUCCGUGCCAGCAGCCGCGGUAAUACGGAGGAUGCGAGCGUUAUCCGGAUUUAUUGGGUUUAAAGGGUGCGCAGGCGGUCUGUUAAGUCAGCGGUCAAAGCCCGGGGCUCAACCCCGGCCCGCCGUUGUCACUGGCAGU